This 338-nucleotide ribosomal RNA is filed under the name Bacilli bacterium. RNAcentral's name for it is "bacterial SSU rRNA". It matches the Rfam family "Bacterial small subunit ribosomal RNA", at positions 1 to 313 of the family's 1533-position model. Lineage: Bacteria; Bacillati; Bacillota; Bacilli. The record is from RNAcentral.
UUUUUGGAGAGUUUGAUCUUGGCUCAGGACGAACGCUGGCGGCGUGCCUAAUACAUGCAAGUCGAGCGCUGGAAACUAAUUUCAUCCCUUCGGGAUGAAAUUAGUUGAAAGAGCGGCGGACGGGUGAGUAACACGUGGGCAACCUACCUAUAAGACUGGGAUAACUCGCGGAAACGUGAGCUAAUACCGGAUAAUACUUUUUAUUGCAUAAUAAGAAGUUUGAAAGGCGGCGUAAGCUGUCACUUAUAGAUGGGCCCGCGGCGCAUUAGCUAGUUGGUGAGGUAAAGGCUCACCAAGGCAACGAUGCGUAGCCGACCUGAGAGGGUGAUCGGCCACAC